Long non-coding RNA from Triticum aestivum (bread wheat), 998 nucleotides. RefSeq lists it as uncharacterized. Lineage: Eukaryota; Viridiplantae; Streptophyta; Magnoliopsida; Poales; Poaceae. The transcript has 4 exons. The record is from RefSeq and is a predicted model, not a curated record.
CCCAGCCCCACGCUCCAAACCUUAUCCCCUUUGGCCCCAUUGCUCCAGAUCCACCACGCACACCGCCGCCAUAGGUGCCCUCUCCGGCCGACGGCGGUGCUACGCGUCGCCACCACUUUGGGCCCCUCUUUCUCCCACCUCUCCAUCGCUAUCCCCACAUGGCUGCUGUUUUCCCACGUCGAGGCGGGCAUGUGCCGGCGCCGCCAUCACGCAGGUGCCAACGGAGGCGCUUUUUGUUCAUACCCAAGUGCCGGUGAUGCCACCUCUCACCUCUCUCUCUCUCUCAUGGCUCCACCGCCCCAACCCAGACCAGCUAGAUCUAAGUGGGACAAACCUUCGCUCCGGGUGGUCUGGUCUGAGGUAGCCAGCCUCUGCUUCCUCUGCUCUGGGUGAUUAGAAGCACGGGAGAACAGGAGCUAGCCAUCCAUGGCAUAAACAACAUCGGCAAAUUAAUCUUUGUAAGUAUGGUGGAUGGUUGGGCAAAAAGGCCACCGAAAGAUGUCCAUAGACAUAUGCCUGCAUUACAUCGACUUGAUGCUACUAUUUACUCUCUCAAGAACCUCUGUAGGCAAAUGUUAGUAAACAAAAUAGUGUGUUCCUUUCAGAAGAGUACAGAAGAAUUUGCGUUCCUGUAAAGAAAUAAGGCGGACCAUCUAAUAAAACAUUGUUUCAGAAUAUGUGGUUUGGGAAUGAUUGUUCGGUUUUUUCUUACGAGAGCUGGAUAACAAGAUAAAAGUUCCUUACAUGAUGGAACGUUGAUGGAGAGUCAAUGGAAUGUCUGAAGAGAGUUAUCCCCUAUGGGCACAUGGACAUUGCAUAAUCAGUCUUGUCAUGGGAAUAAUUUGCCUGCCUAAAGAAGGCGAAGCAAUCAGCCAAGCAAUUAAACUGGAGUCCAGUAAAGAGAAAUCUUCCAGUGACAAUCAAGAGUUGAAUCGUAGCAUUCCAAAGGAGACAAGUCAUCCAACCAUCCAGCAGAAGUGUAGACAGUUUAAAGAAAC